UGCCUGUCCCAAGUCAGGAGCCUGUAAAUUCAGUGGUUGUCGUUUGUUUAUGUGUUACAUAUUUGUUUUUUGUUCAUUUUUUUUUACAUAAAUAAGGCCGUUAGUUUUAUCGUUUGAAUUGUUUUACAUUGUCUUAUCGGGGCCUUUUAUAGCUGACUAUGCGGUAUGGGCUUUGCUCAUUGUUGAAGGCCGUACGGUGACCUAUAGUUGUUAAUGUCUGUGUCAUUUUGGUAUUUGGUGGAUAGUUGUCUCAUUGGCCAUCAUACC
This 267-nucleotide long non-coding RNA is filed under the name Mytilus galloprovincialis (Mediterranean mussel). The record is from RNAcentral. Lineage: Eukaryota; Metazoa; Mollusca; Bivalvia; Mytilida; Mytilidae.